RNAcentral lists this ribosomal RNA (254 nucleotides) under uncultured bacterium. RNAcentral's name for it is "partial 16S ribosomal RNA". It matches the Rfam family "Bacterial small subunit ribosomal RNA", at positions 524 to 776 of the family's 1533-position model. The record is from RNAcentral.
GACGUAGGGUCCGAGCGUUGUCCGGAUUUACUGGGCGUAAAGAGCGCGUAGGCGGUCUAUUAAGUGUGAAGUGAAAUCUCCAGGGCUCAACCCGGAAACUGCUUCGCAUACUGAUAGACUUGAGGAAUGCAGAGGUUUGUGGAAUUCCUGGUGUAGCGGUGAAAUGCGUUGAUAUCAGGAGGAACACCCAUGGCGAAGGCAGCAAACUGGGCAUUAUCUGACGCUGAGGCGCGAAAGCGUGGGUAGCAAACAGG